AUGUGGCGGCGCGGGGCCCACUCCGACGCCGCCCACCACCUCCCCGCCGCCGGCGCCGGCGGGUCUACCUCGGCCGCCGCCGCUGCGGGCGCCGUGCGGAGGCGGCGCCGACCUGGGCUGUCGUGCCGCCCCAGCCACCUGUUCUUCGCCCUCCUCGUCGCGCUCUUCACGGCCUCCCUGCUUGUCGUCUGGCAGCUGCUCCCCAUCGGCGACGGCAACGCGGCGGCGGACGGGGAGGGGGCGCCGCCGCCGCCCGACGGGGGAGGGGCGAUGCGGUUCUCGGCCUCGCGCAUGGUGCUGCGCGCGUUCGACACCGAGAGCCGGCUCGAGGCCGCGAGAUCCGCGCGCCGCUGGUGGCCCGGCCUCGAGCCCGUCAGGCUAGCGCUCGUUGUGGGAACUAUGAACAUAGACGCAGAAUCCCUGAUGCUCACUACCUUAGCAAAAAGUCUUGGGGGACUCGGAUACGAGGUCGAGGUUUUAGCAUUCACGGAUGGGAAAGCUCACAAUAUUUGGAAAACUAUUUGCCAUGUAAAUGUUGUGAGCUUUGAGAAGCUGAAGUAUGUCGAUUGGUCAAAAUACAAUGCUGUGCUCGUAAGCUCUCUUGAAGGGAAAAGGGUUGUUUCGAUUCUUAUGCAGGAACCUUUUCGACUUCUACCAGUGGUUUGGCUUAUUCAUGAUGAUGCUCUUGGGCAGCACCUUAGGAAUUAUCCAGAGCCGCAUCUGUCCGUUCCAAAUCAUAUUGAAGAUUGGCGAGCUCAUUUUAAUGCAUGCACUGACGUUGUGUUUCCAGAUAGCCACCUCCCUUUAUUAUACUCUCCACUUGAUACUGGGAAUUUCUUGGUGAUUCCUGGUUCUCCGGUUGAUAUCUGGGCUGCUAAACGAUACGGCUUGUCACAUUCUCAAGGAACUAUAAGGAAUCAACAUGGAAUCAAAGAAGAAGAUAUUGUUGUUUUGGUUGUUGGGAGCUACCUGUUCUUUGAUGAAUUACCAUGGGAUUAUGUAACAGUCUUGCGUACAUCAGCUCCACAUGUCAUGGACAUGGCAAGAACUAAAAAAUUGGGAGUGCAGUUCAUCUUUUUCUGUGGAAAUGGCAGUGACACCUAUAACUCUGCUUUCCAGGAACUUGCAUCUCAUAUAGGAUUUCCUGAUGAUUCUGUAAAGCAUUUCCCCAUGACACAUGAUAUCGGAAACCUGCUAAUGUUUGUUGAUAUUGUUCUCUAUGGAUCUUUAAGACAGGAACCUGGUUUCCCUCCUUUGUUAUUGCGGUCUAUGUCCUCUGAAAUUCCAAUCAUUGCGCCAAAUCUAACUGUUAUAACAAAAUAUGUCACUGAUGGUAUUCAUGCCUUCCUUUUUAAUUCUGGCGACCCAAGCACAGCAGCUUCAGCUUUCAUGCGGAUUUUAGGAGAAAAGGGACUUUUGGACACUGCCUAUUCUGUUGCUUUGGAGGGGAAGCUACUUUCAAAAAACAUGUUAGCAUAUGAUUGUAUUGUUGCUCAUGUUAAGCUUCUUGAAAGUGUGUUGCACUAUCCUUCAGAUGCAAGAUUACCACUUUCCUUCUCUCAAGUUAAAGAGAGAACAUGGUUAUGGGAUCCUUUCGAGUCGAAAGCUGCACUGGGCAAUAGUUCUUCAGAAGAUGAAAGACAUAUCCACACAAGAAUUGCUGGUAUUCUCUUAGGGGAAUCAGCUCAAAGUAAUUGGACAAUCGAUUCUGAUAGCAAUGAUACUUCUUCAUAUGACUACCCUACCCAGUCUGAUUGGGAUGAUCUAAGUGAAGUUGAAAUCUUUGAAGACAUUGAGAUGAGAGAAAUGGAGGAGAUUGAUGAAAGGGUGGAAAAACCUCUGUUAACAUGGGAUGAGGUGUACAGAAAUGCCCGAAAAUCGGAAAGGAUGAAGCCUGAAGGAAAUGAACGUGAUGAAGGCGAACUGGAAAGAACUGGGCAGCCCGUCUGUAUAUAUGAGAUUUACCGUGGAGAGGGCGCAUGGCCAUUUUUACACCAUGGUUCUUUAUAUCGUGGCAUUACUCUUUCAAAAGGAGCCAGGAGACCCAGAUCAGAUGAUGUUGAUGCUGUUAUGCGGCUUUCGGUUCUAGACGAUACGUACUAUCGUGAUCUUCUUUGUGAAUUUGGUGCUAUGUUUGCCAUUGCGAACAGAAUUGAUACUGUACAUAAGUUACCGUGGAUAGGUUUCCAGUCAUGGCGAGCUGCUGGAAGGAAGGUUUCCUUGUCUGAAAGUGCUGAAGAAACCUUAGAGAAAACUAUGGCUGGGGAAAAUCAUGAGGAUGUUAUAUACUACUGGGUGCCAAUGGAUACUGAUCAAACAUCCAACUUUUGGUCAACGUGUGAUUGCCUAAAUGCUGGUCAUUGCAGAACUCUUUUUGAGGACGCAUUUAGGAAUAUGUACGGAUUACCAGAGGGCGUUGCAGCCCUGCCGCCAAUGCCCAAUGAUGGCGAUUAUUGGUCUACUCUUCAUAGUUGGGUAAUGCCCACCCCGUCAUUUUUAAAGUUCAUCAUGUUCACAAGGAUGUUUGUUGAUUCGCUUCAUAGCUUGAAUGGAAACAAUACCGAGCCAGCUUCAUGCUUGCUUGGAGCANNNNNNNNNNNNNAAAAGGCACUGCUAUUGUCGAAUACUGGAAAUCCUUGUAAAUAUCUGGGCUUAUCACAGUGGAAGGAAGAUGGUGUACCUUAA
This 2685-nucleotide ribosomal RNA is filed under the name Triticum aestivum (bread wheat). Its description in RNAcentral is "partial small subunit ribosomal RNA". Lineage: Eukaryota; Viridiplantae; Streptophyta; Magnoliopsida; Poales; Poaceae. The record is from RNAcentral.